AGAGUUUGAUCCUGGCUCAGGAUGAACGCUGGCGGCGUGCCUAACACAUGCAAGUCGAGCGAGAAGCUGAUGACAGAUACUUCGGUUGAAGGAGUCAGUGGAAAGCGGCGGACGGGUGAGUAACGCGUAGGCAACCUGCCCUUUGCACAGGGAUAGCCAUUGGAAACGAUGAUUAAAACCUGAUAACACCAUUUGGUUACAUGAGCAGAUGGUCAAAGAUUUAUCGGCAAAGGAUGGGCCUGCGUCUGAUUAGCUAGUUGGUAAGGUAACGGCUUACCAAGGCGACGAUCAGUAGCCGACCUGAGAGGGUGAACGGCCACAUUGGAACUGAGACACGGUCCAAACUCCUACGGGAGGCAGCAGUGGGGAAUAUUGCACAAUGGGCGAAAGCCUGAUGCAGCAACGCCGCGUGAAGGAAGAAGGCCUUCGGGUCGUAAACUUCUGUCCUUGGGGAAGAAGAACUGACGGUACCCAAGGAGGAAGCCCCGGCUAACUACGUG
Molecule: ribosomal RNA, 500 nt
Filed under: uncultured Eubacteriales bacterium
Lineage: Bacteria; Bacillati; Bacillota; Clostridia; Eubacteriales
Description: bacterial SSU rRNA
Rfam family: Bacterial small subunit ribosomal RNA
Source: RNAcentral